UUGACCUCGAUCACGAGUACAAGC
This 24-nucleotide ribosomal RNA is filed under the name Alternaria sp. MY-2011. Its description in RNAcentral is "partial 28S large subunit ribosomal RNA". Lineage: Eukaryota; Fungi; Ascomycota; Dothideomycetes; Pleosporales; Pleosporaceae. The record is from RNAcentral.